This 460-nucleotide ribosomal RNA is filed under the name uncultured bacterium. RNAcentral describes it as "partial 16S ribosomal RNA". It matches the Rfam family "Bacterial small subunit ribosomal RNA", at positions 338 to 795 of the family's 1533-position model. The record is from RNAcentral.
CCUACGGGAGGCAGCAGUGAGGAAUAUUGGUCAAUGGACGAGAGUCUGAACCAGCCAAGUAGCGUGAAGGAUGACUGCCCUAUGGGUUGUAAACUUCUUUUAUAAAGGAAUAAAACGAGGCACGUGUGCCUUUUUGCAUGUACUUUAUGAAUAAGGAUCGGCUAACUCCGUGCCAGCAGCCGCGGUAAUACGGAGGAUCCGAGCGUUAUCCGGAUUUAUUGGGUUUAAAGGGAGCGUAGAUGGGUUGUUAAGUCAGUUGUGAAAGGUUGCGGCUCAACCGUAAAAUUGCAAUUGAUACUGGCAGUCUUGAGUACAGAUGAGGUAGGCGGAAUUCGUGGUGUAGCGGUGAAAUGCUUAGAUAUCACGAAGAACCCCGAUUGCGAAGGCAGCUUACUAAACUGUGACUGACAUUGAUGCUCGAAAGUGUGGGUAUCAAACAGGAUUAGAUACCCCUGUAGUC